GCGGAACUUGGGGACUGGCAAAACAGUCAGGAAUUCAGGACACAGAAAUGAAUUUGAGGAACAGGAAUCCUAGACAACUGUAGGAACGGAAAGGGUUCGCCUUUUCCUGCCUACUGAUGUGGUCUGUGUGAAGGCAGUAUAUGACACUUGCCAAAGGCUAAGGACUCGUGCCGCACAGUAUAACUAGUCAUUGGAGUUCAGAAGCAAGGCAAAAGCCAAGAUGACUUCUGGUGAUUCAAGAUGCAGUGAAUGGCCUUGGCUUCUGUGGUGUCUAAACAAGAUCUAAGUGUUUGCUCUACAGCACUUGAUUCUGCCACCUUCAGGGAAGUUGGAACAAUAUUCUCAUUUGCCCUUUCCACAAGGGUCAGUCUUUAUAUGACUGGGAUAGAUAUUCUCCUAAAUGAUGGAUGUGUCUGAGGCCCGUCAGUUACUGUCAAUCUGGUUUAGCCUACAUGAUGAGGUGGUUUAUUGGAGUGUGGCUACUGCACAUACUACAGCUUCUUGGAAUCACAGCUAUUCAUCCAACGAUGUUAUGCUUCAUGGAUGGGAGGUACGGAAUAUCACAUUCUCUGAAGAAUCAAAACUUUGGGUGAUCCAACAGGCCACUGAACAUCAACAAAAGUUGGGCCCAUCAUACAACAAAAGUGUCAUUAUCUGUCAUCAUCCUAGUCAUCCUUCUUUGGAUAUAUUCCACCUUGUCAGUGUCUCCACCCCAACCCUACAUAUGACAACCAGAAGAGGACUGAAUACUCCCAAUGUCUGAAAAGAUGAAAAGCAUACCUUAACCUGAUUAAUGUCUUG
RNAcentral lists this long non-coding RNA (801 nucleotides) under Monodelphis domestica (gray short-tailed opossum). RNAcentral describes it as "lncRNA (ENSMODG00000031707.2)". Lineage: Eukaryota; Metazoa; Chordata; Mammalia; Didelphimorphia; Didelphidae. The record is from RNAcentral.